RNAcentral lists this transfer RNA (73 nucleotides) under Pangasianodon gigas (Mekong giant catfish). RNAcentral describes it as "tRNA-Arg". It matches the Rfam family "tRNA". From Rfam's summary of the family: Transfer RNA (tRNA) molecules are approximately 80 nucleotides in length. Their secondary structure includes four short double-helical elements and three loops (D, anti-codon, and T loops). The record is from RNAcentral. Lineage: Eukaryota; Metazoa; Chordata; Actinopteri; Siluriformes; Pangasiidae.
GGGCCAGUGGCGCAAUGGAUAACGUGUCUGACUCCGGCUCAGAAGAUUCUAGGUUCGACUCCUGGCUGGCUCG